RNAcentral lists this ribosomal RNA (460 nucleotides) under uncultured bacterium. Its description in RNAcentral is "partial 16S ribosomal RNA". It matches the Rfam family "Bacterial small subunit ribosomal RNA", at positions 338 to 795 of the family's 1533-position model. The record is from RNAcentral.
CCUACGGGUGGCAGCAGUGAGGAAUAUUGGUCAAUGGACGAGAGUCUGAACCAGCCAAGUAGCGUGAAGGAUGACUGCCCUAUGGGUUGUAAACUUCUUUUAUAUGGGAAUAAAAUGUUCCACGUGUGGGAUUUUGUAUGUACCCUAUGAAUAAGGAUCGGCUAACUCCGUGCCAGCAGCCGCGGUAAUACGGAGGAUCCGAGCGUUAUCCGGAUUUAUUGGGUUUAAAGGGAGCGUAGGUGGAUUGUUAAGUCAGUUGUGAAAGUUUGCGGCUCAACCGUAAAAUUGCAGUUGAAACUGGCAGUCUUGAGUACAGUAGAGGUGGGCGGAAUGCGUGGUGUAGCGGUGAAAUGCUUAGAUAUCACGAAGAACUCCGAUUGCGAAGGCAGUUCACUGGACUGCAACUGACACUGAGGCUCGAAAGUGUGGGUAUCAAACAGGAUUAGAUACCCUAGUAGUC